CUUCCUACAAUGCACAGGUUUUCUCUCCCUCUCCACAACACCGCCGACGCAACCGUCACCGCCCGGCCUCUGCAUCCUCCCUCUCCUCAUCACAGCAGAUGUCAUCGCAAGCCCCACUAUCCCAAUCUAGAUCCUCGGCCAUAAGCAGCAGCACCACUCCAAACCUAGCCGAGCUCGCAGCGGAAGGGGGAGGCUCACUAUUUUGCCAUGGCGCUGGUCGCGCACCUCCAGGGCUUGCUGCCCCUGCGCCGAGGGAGAGGGGAGAGCUCGCCGGUUCCGGUGAUGGCUAUGUCUUCGCCGUCCAACAUGACGCCGGCAUCACGCUCCUCGACGCCUGCAACACCAUCGUCGCACGCCUCCACCGCCUCCUUGCGUGCCUCGCGGUCGACCUCCUUUUUUCCUCCUAACGUCUGGGCGAGCUCCCGUCGCCUGAGGCCACUCGCGCCCGCGACGACAACCCCCGGCACAACGCUGCUGGUGCGCGAAACUGCCUGCAAACUUGAUAGAACUUCAUAGAUCUGGCAAAACUUUCAUUUGAGUGUACGUCUCCACUGACCACUGCAUGCCUCCAUUGUUACCCUCGUGGUGCAACACUGAAUUGAACUGAACAUGUGCGCAAAGCUGUAAAGGUCGAUUGCAAAGUUGACCUCCAAUACCCUCCAGCUAUGAAGGCAAAGCGAGCGCACUGUCCGUAGUGUGCUCGAGCAGGAAUGUUUCUUCUCUCGUGCUUCACUUCCAGUCCAACCUUGUCUGCCCUCAGUGAUCUCAGUGAUAUGUGUGUUGUAUUCUACAAGCUUAAUGCAUCUGAGGAAAUACAAGACAAACAAAAGCAGCUCUUGAUUUGGGAGCAGGGAUGUGGCAUGCCAAGAACCCAAGCCCAAGCAGAGGUGCUGCUCCAUGCAGAUCCACUUUCUCCUUUGCCUUUCCUUAAGAGGCUCCAAUUGCUUGCUUUGUUGCAAGAAAACGAAGUAGGAAAGGUUAUUUUCUAUGUAGACUUCUUUUUCUUGAGUUCUGAAGUAGAGACUAAUUGAUGAUCAUGCCUUCUGCUGUACCACUGUAACCCAUUGCUAUAAAGUCAGAUUAGUAAGGCUUGACCAAAGAUUAGUAAGGCUAGACCAAAAAUGUGAAAGAUCG
This 1134-nucleotide unclassified non-coding RNA is filed under the name Zea mays. Its description in RNAcentral is "misc RNA Zm00001eb347910". The record is from RNAcentral. Lineage: Eukaryota; Viridiplantae; Streptophyta; Magnoliopsida; Poales; Poaceae.